RNAcentral lists this ribosomal RNA (483 nucleotides) under uncultured bacterium. RNAcentral's name for it is "partial 16S ribosomal RNA". It matches the Rfam family "Bacterial small subunit ribosomal RNA", at positions 30 to 506 of the family's 1533-position model. The record is from RNAcentral.
AUUGAACGCUGGCGGCAGGCCUAACACAUGCAAGUCGAGCGGAUGAAGGGAGCUUGCUCCUGGAUUCAGCGGCGGACGGGUGAGUAAUGCCUAGGAAUCUGCCUGGUAGUGGGGGAUAACGUCCGGAAACGGGCGCUAAUACCGCAUACGUCCUGAGGGAGAAAGUGGGGGAUCUUCGGACCUCACGCUAUCAGAUGAGCCUAGGUCGGAUUAGCUAGUUGGUGGGGUAAAGGCCUACCAAGGCGACGAUCCGUAACUGGUCUGAGAGGAUGAUCAGUCACACUGGAACUGAGACACGGUCCAGACUCCUACGGGAGGCAGCAGUGGGGAAUAUUGGACAAUGGGCGAAAGCCUGAUCCAGCCAUGCCGCGUGUGUGAAGAAGGUCUUCGGAUUGUAAAGCACUUUAAGUUGGGAGGAAGGGCAGUAAGUUAAGACCUUGCCGUUUUGACGUUACCAACAGAAUAAGCACCGGCUAACUUCGU